UUGCAAAAUUCAGUGAAUCAUCGAAUCUUCGAACGCACCUUGCGCCCUUUGGCUAUUCCGAAGGGCAUGCCUGUUUGAGUAUCUAU
RNAcentral lists this ribosomal RNA (86 nucleotides) under uncultured fungus. Its description in RNAcentral is "partial 5.8S ribosomal RNA". It matches the Rfam family "5.8S ribosomal RNA", at positions 72 to 154 of the family's 154-position model. Rfam says of the family: 5.8S ribosomal RNA (5.8S rRNA) is a component of the large subunit of the eukaryotic ribosome. It is transcribed by RNA polymerase I as part of the 45S precursor that also contains 18S and 28S rRNA. Functionally, it is thought that 5.8S rRNA may be involved in ribosome translocation. The record is from RNAcentral. Lineage: Eukaryota; Fungi.